This 388-nucleotide ribosomal RNA is filed under the name Savius diversicornis. RNAcentral describes it as "partial small subunit ribosomal RNA". Lineage: Eukaryota; Metazoa; Arthropoda; Insecta; Hemiptera; Coreidae. The record is from RNAcentral.
AUAUUUUAUUAUUUAGUUAAAGUUAAUUUUGCUUUUUUUGAUUGGCUGUUUUUUAAUAGUUUUAUAUAUAAGUUUUUGCGUGUUUAUUUAUUUAUCUUAAUGAUAAUUAUUUUUUAUUUUUAGUUUUUAAUUUUGGUUAUGUUAAUAAAUAAUUUUAUUUCCAGCUAAUUUAUUUUAGGAUUGUAAAAUUUUGUGCCAGCAUAUGCGGUUAAACAAUUAAUUCAUGUCAAUUAUUUUGGUUUAUAUUAAUUAUUUAUUUUAAAGGUUUAUUUAAAUUUAUUAAGUGAAAUUUUUAUUUUUAACAAUAUUUUUUUGGUUAAGAUUAUGUGAAAUUUAGUUUUAAAGACUAGGAUUAGAUACCCUAUUAUUCUAAAUGUAAAUUUGUAAC